RNAcentral lists this unclassified non-coding RNA (535 nucleotides) under uncultured fungus. RNAcentral's name for it is "sequence contains 18S rRNA gene, ITS1, 5.8S rRNA gene, ITS2, 28S rRNA gene". Lineage: Eukaryota; Fungi. The record is from RNAcentral.
CGGUGCGCGGCAUCGGCGCCAAGUCGCUGGACGUGGUUCGCGGGCAGGCCAAGUCGGCGACCACGUCGUUGUGGACGGCCGCCGCGGAUUGCGUGGCCAACGGCGCGCUGGGGCCCAAGGCGGAAGCCGCGGUCAACGGCUUCCUGAAACUCAUCGAUCAACUGGCCAAUGACGUCGCCGGCCUCGAACUGCACGAGCAGGUGGACCAUGUCAUCAACAACUCAGGCCUGGUCGAACACCACAAGAAAGAGAAGGCCGAUCGCGGUGAGGCGCGUGUCGAGAACCUGAACGAGCUGGUGUCCGCCGCACGUGGCUUCGAGCCCGAUGGGCUCAACGCCGAAGAUGAGGAGCUGCCACCGCUGGAAUCCUUCCUCGCCCACGCCGUGCUCGAGUCCGGCGAAGGACAGGCUGCCGAGUGGGAAGACUGUGUCCAGAUGAUGACGCUGCACACCGCCAAGGGCCUGGAGUUCCCGGUGGUGUUCAUGUGCGGCCUGGAGGACGGCCUCUUCCCCCACCAGCGCUCACUCAACGACGC